RNAcentral lists this ribosomal RNA (440 nucleotides) under uncultured bacterium. Its description in RNAcentral is "partial 16S ribosomal RNA". It matches the Rfam family "Bacterial small subunit ribosomal RNA", at positions 338 to 795 of the family's 1533-position model. The record is from RNAcentral.
CCUACGGGCGGCAGCAGUGGGGGAUAUUGCACAAUGGGGGGAACCCUGAUGCAGCGACGCCGCGUGGGUGAAGGAGCGUUUCGGCGCGUAAAGCCCUAUCGGCAGGGAAGACGAUGACGGUACCUGACCAAGACGCCCCGGCUAACUACGUGCCAGCAGCAGCGGUAAUACGUAGUGGGCAAGCGUUAACCGGAUUUACGGGGUGGAAAGGGGGCGCAGACGGCAAUGCAAGCCAGGAGUGAAAGCCCGGGGCUCAACCCCGGGACUGCUCUUGGAACUGCAUGGCGGGAGUACAGGAGGGGCAGGCGGAAGUCCUAGGGUAGCGGUGAAAUGCGUAGAUAGUAGGAGGAACCCCGGUGGCGAAGGCGGCCUGCUGGACUGUGACUGACGUUGAGGCCCGAAGGCGUGGGGAGCAAACAGGAUUAGAUACCCUUGUAGUC